AUGCGAAGGAGCGAGAUGCGCGUGCUAUACAUGCAGUCGAGCGGAGUUUUGAAAAGCUUGCUUUUCAAAACUUAGCGGCGGACGGGUGAGUAACACGUGGGCAACCUGCCCUUGAGACGGGGAUAACUCCGGGAAACCGGAGCUAAUACCGGAUAACACAUAUCUUCGCAUGAGGAUAUGUUAGAAGGUGGCUUUUAGCUACCACUCAAGGAUGGGCCCGCGGCGCAUUAGCUAGUUGGUGAGGUAACGGCUCACCAAGGCGACGAUGCGUAGCCGACCUGAGAGGGUGAUCGGCCACACUGGCACUGAGACACGGCCCAGACUCCUACGGGAGGCAGCAGUAGGGAAUCUUCCGCAAUGGACGAAAGUCUGACGGAGCAACGCCGCGUGAGUGAUGAAGGUUUUCGGAUCAUAAACCUCUGUUGUUAGGGAAAAACAAGUACCUGUUGAAUAAGCAGGUACCUUGACGGUACCUAACCAGAAAGCCACGGCUAACUACGUGCCAGCAGCCGCGGUAAUACGUAGGUGGCAAGCGUUGUCCGGAAUUAUUGGGCGUAAAGCGCGCGCAGGCGGUUCCUUAAGUCUGAUGUGAAAGCCCACGGCUCAACCGUGGAGGGUCAUUGGAAACUGGGGAACUUGAGUGCAGAAGAGGAGAGCGGAAUUCCACGUGUAGCGGUGAAAUGCGUAGAGAUGUGGAGGAACACCAGUGGCGAAGGCGGCUCUCUGGUCUGUAACUGACGCUGAGGCGCGAAAGCGUGGGGAGCGAACAGGAUUAGAUACCCUGGUAGUCCACGCCGUAAACGAUGAGUGCUAAGUGUUAGAGGGUUUCCGCCCUUUAGUGCUGCAGCAAACGCAUUAAGCACUCCGCCUGGGGGAGUACGGUCGCAGACUGAAACUCAAGGAAUUGACGGGGACCCGCACAGCGGUGGAGCAUGUGGUUUAAUUCGAAGCACGCGAAGACCUUACCAGGUCUGAAUUCCUCUGCUACUUCUAAGAGAUAGAAGUCCCUUCGGGACAAGAUGAAAGGUGGUGGCAUGUGUCGUCAGCUCCGUGUCGUGAGAAUGUUGAUUAGUCCGCACGAGCAACCUUGACUCUUAUUGCACAUUAAUUGCUCUAAGGUGACCUGGCGGUGAACAACCGGAGA
This 1144-nucleotide ribosomal RNA is filed under the name Bacillus sp. (in: firmicutes). Its description in RNAcentral is "bacterial SSU rRNA". It matches the Rfam family "Bacterial small subunit ribosomal RNA", at positions 20 to 1169 of the family's 1533-position model. The record is from RNAcentral. Lineage: Bacteria; Bacillati; Bacillota; Bacilli; Caryophanales; Bacillaceae.